RNAcentral lists this ribosomal RNA (468 nucleotides) under uncultured bacterium. RNAcentral describes it as "partial 16S ribosomal RNA". It matches the Rfam family "Bacterial small subunit ribosomal RNA", at positions 28 to 507 of the family's 1533-position model. The record is from RNAcentral.
GACGAACGCUGGCGGCGUGCUUAACACAUGCAAGUCGAACGGAAAGGCCCUGCUUUUGUGGGGUGCUCGAGUGGCGAACGGGUGAGUAACACGUGAGUAACCUGCCCUUGACUUUGGGAUAACUUCAGGAAACUGGGGCUAAUACCGGAUAGGAGCUCCUGCUGCAUGGGGGGGGUUGGAAAGUUUCGGCGGUUGGGGAUGGACUCGCGGCUUAUCAGCUUGUUGGUGGGGUAGUGGCUUACCAAGGCUUUGACGGGUAGCCGGCCUGAGAGGGUGACCGGCCACCUUGGUACUGAGAUACGGCCCAGACUCCUACGGGAGGCAGCAGUGGGGAAUAUUGCCCAAUGGGCCGAAGCCUGAUGCAGCAACGCCGCGUGCGGGAUGACGGCCUUCGGGUUGUAAACCGCUUUCGCCUGUGACGAAGCGUGAGUGACGGUAAUGGGUAAAGAAGCACCGGCUAACUACGUG